GGGCCCGCACAAGCGGUGGAGCAUGUGGUUUAAUUCGAUGAUACGCGAGGAACCUUACCAGGGUUUAAAUGCAGAACGACAGGGGUGGAAACACCCCCUUCUUCGGACGGACUGCAAGGUGCUGCAUGGUUGUCGUCAGCUCGUGCUGUGAAGUGUCGGGUUAAGUCCCAUAACGAGCGCAACCCCCAUUUCUAGUUGCCAGCGGUUCGGCCGGGGACUCUAGAGAAACUGCCCGCGUAAGCGGUGAGGAAGGUGGGGAUGACGUCAAAUCAUCACGGCCCUUACAUCCUGGGCUACACACGUGCUACAAUGGUAGGUACAGAGGGAAGCCACCUCGUGAGAGGGAGCGGA
This 351-nucleotide ribosomal RNA is filed under the name uncultured bacterium. Its description in RNAcentral is "bacterial SSU rRNA". It matches the Rfam family "Bacterial small subunit ribosomal RNA", at positions 917 to 1271 of the family's 1533-position model. The record is from RNAcentral.